RNAcentral lists this ribosomal RNA (209 nucleotides) under uncultured bacterium. RNAcentral's name for it is "partial 16S ribosomal RNA". It matches the Rfam family "Bacterial small subunit ribosomal RNA", at positions 568 to 774 of the family's 1533-position model. The record is from RNAcentral.
UGCGUAGGUGGUCAGGUAAGUCGGAUGUGAAAUCUCGGAGCUCAACUCCGAAACUGCAUUGGAAACUACCUGGCUCGAGGAAUGGAGGGGGGGACUGGAAUUCUCGGUGUAGCAGUGAAAUGCGUAGAUAUCGAGAGGAACACCAGUGGCGAAGGCGAGUCCCUGGACAUCUCCUGACACUGAGGCACGAAAGCUAGGGGGAGCAAACA